Long non-coding RNA from Saccostrea cuccullata (small rock oyster), 371 nucleotides. RefSeq lists it as uncharacterized. NCBI's taxonomy places the organism in Eukaryota, Metazoa, Mollusca, Bivalvia, Ostreida, Ostreidae. The transcript has 2 exons. The record is from RefSeq and is a predicted model, not a curated record.
CACCAAUGUCUGUGUCAGUGUCAGUAAUGCACAGUGCCAUCUCACACACCACUGGGAAAGAUGCAGAUUCGGUGUUUAUAAAAAAGUAGGAAAACUUGCUUUGUAUGAUCAAUAAUGUUACUAUGAAUCUGCAUCCUUCUUUGGUAUAUGGUAUUAACAGUACACUGACAGAAACUAUAUUAACCUCUAUGUAUGCUUGCAUAAAAAAAUGUAUACAUGUAAAAUGUAUGCUUGCUCAAGUAUCAAGCUAGCUUAUUUGCUUAAUUACUGUAAAUAUUACCAGGGAAAAAGAAAAAAACAAAUUUAUUCUGUAAGGAAAAGGAAGGAGUUCACAGUAUUAGUUGCUAAGGGGUUUUUAUAAUCCAUGGAAA